RNAcentral lists this long non-coding RNA (973 nucleotides) under Mustela putorius furo (domestic ferret). RNAcentral's name for it is "lncRNA (ENSMPUG00000025033.1)". The record is from RNAcentral. Lineage: Eukaryota; Metazoa; Chordata; Mammalia; Carnivora; Mustelidae.
GAGAAGUUCCAGGAUAAAGCUGUGACCUUACCCCGACAGUCACCUAUCCACACUGAACUGGAGAACCCAGACCUUCAAGAAGAAAGUCUCUAGAAAGAAUUUGAAAACAAAACAUUUGACCUUAUGGAAAAUUAUAAUGAGAAGUUACAAGGCUGUGGAAAGAAAAUUAAUCAAAUCACAAGAGAAGGUUGGUAUCUGCAAGGCCAGGUGAAAUCCUUUUGUGUCUUUCCACAUCCCGCCUGUAAGUCUUCAACUUCAGACGAAGGCGAUCACCACCUCACACGCAUGGGUCUGGAUGCUUCACCCUUCUCCCGUGCCCUCUCCCCACUAUCACUGCCAGAAGCCAAAUGACUAUAUGAAAAGAGAACAGGUGCAGAAACAAAGAGGGAUCAACGUUCAGAUCUUAACUGGACCACUUUUUAAUGUGUGAUUAACACUGAGAGAGUCACUUUGCAAGCUCCACUUUCCCACCUUUUAGGUUUUGGCCAAGAUAAAGGAAAAGGAACCAGAUUUAUAUUCUCUCCUGAAACAAUCAGGAAAAAAAAAAAAAAAGACAAAAUAUUUGAAAAACCUGGACCAGAACCUGGACAUCAGAAAGUGAAGGACUAUGAUGCCUAAAAGACAGGAUUUAACAAAUGAAAUAAGCCUUAAAUUUGUCUCUGUGUACUCUGUUGAGAGAGUCGGAAGGCAGGGUAAUCCCAGAGGAUUCUCUGGGCUGGGGAGAUGGAGAUAAAUGUCUGGGGAGACCAACAUGAUCAGAGAACACAAAAUUUUAAAAAUGAUUCAAUUUAUAAUGAGACCAAGAACAUCAAAUAACUAGGUAUAAAUCUAAAGAAAAAUGUAUACUUAAUUAUUCACUGUAAACUCAUAUGAACUAUUGAGAAAAUUUAAAGAAUACCCAAAUAAAUGGGAAGAUAUACCAUAUUCAUUAAUUAGAAGACUCAAUAUUGUUAACAUGUCAAGACGACUUCAC